This 374-nucleotide ribosomal RNA is filed under the name uncultured organism. RNAcentral describes it as "partial 16S ribosomal RNA". It matches the Rfam family "Bacterial small subunit ribosomal RNA", at positions 527 to 896 of the family's 1533-position model. The record is from RNAcentral.
GUAGGUGGCAAGCGUUGUCCGGAAUUAUUGGGCGUAAAGCGCGCGCAGGCGGUCCUUUAAGUCUGAUGUGAAAGCCCGCGGCUCAACCGUGGAGGGUCAUUGGAAACUGGGGGACUUGAGUACAGAAGAGGAAAGCGGAAUUCCAAGUGUAGUGGUGAAAUGCGUAGAGAUUUGGAGGAACACCAGUGGCGAAGGCGGCUUUCUGGUCUGUAACUGACGCUGAGGCGCGAAAGCGUGGGGAGCAAACAGGAUUAGAUACCCUGGUAGUCCACGCCGUAAACGAUGAGUGCUAAGUGUUAGGGGGUUUCCCGCCCCCCUUAGUGCUGCAGCUAACGCAUUAAGCACUCCGCCUGGGGAGUACGGCCGCAAGGCUG